This is a non-coding RNA of Tetranychus urticae (two-spotted spider mite), 812 nucleotides long. Lineage: Eukaryota; Metazoa; Arthropoda; Arachnida; Trombidiformes; Tetranychidae. The record is from RefSeq and is a predicted model, not a curated record.
UAAAAUGGUUACAAGUGAAGACACAAAAAUAAAUCUAUUCAGAAGGAUAUAUCAACUGAAUUGCGGUCACCAAUUGCCAUUCCUUUUGGCCUAAUAAAGUAUCGAAAAGGGAAAAUGAAAAAAGGAAAAGAGAAAAAUAUGAGAAAGAAUUAGAAUCGUGGUCACAAGGAAACUUUGGAUUGUUAAUCAUCAUUGAUUGAAUUGAUUCAAGUUGAUGAAGUUAAGUGAACAAAACUGAACAAUGCAAAAAAUAAAUCGUACAAGUUUAACAUGAAAAAAUGGCCUAAACUCUAGUGUUUUUUUGUGUUCAUCAGAAAACAAAAGAUGAAAUUAAAAGGAUUGGCAUUGGAUUGGAUAAAUUGAAAAAUAAUUGAUCUGGUCAAAUCUGAAGAGUAAAUGAUUAGUUUUUACAUUACAAAAGGUCCAACUGGUUAUUUGUCAACAAUCAUCUGAAUUGUUUAUCACAAUCAGAUAUUCAAAAAAUGAUAACAACAUGAAAGCGCAAACGAUGCAAGAAAAGCAAAGGAAAAAUUCGUGGUUCCAAGAGGUUGCUUAUUAUCAUUAUUACACAUUUGUUUUUAAUUCAAUGUUAUUCAAUAUCUGACAAGGAAAUGGUUGACAAAUGUUGAAAGAAUCAAUUUAAAUCAUGUAACAUGAAUUAUGACAGAAUUAGAAUGUGAAUGAGACAAAAUGAAAAACAAAAUCUGAUUCAAUGUUGAUCAACUCUUCAGAAUGAGCAAUUUUUGACUCUUGCAAUUUCAAGUCACGUUCACUAUGAAGAUGAUGAUGUUAAUAAUAGUGAUGAGCAAGAA